UGCAGCCGGGGAGAUAGCGGUGCCCUGUACCUGCAAUCCGCUACAGCAGGGGUGAUGCCAAUCCGAGCGCUGUAGCCUGCAGAGCUGCCCUCUAUAAGUGGCGUUGACGCCUGGGUCUUGCGCAACAGGAAUCUAUGAACCGUGUCAGGACAGGAAUGUAGCAGCACUAAGUAGAACCUUCUGUGUGCCGCAAGGGUGCCUGGGCCGAGUUAACUGUAGAGGUAACGUCUGUGGGAGCAGUGCGAAGUGCGGCGCACG
Molecule: signal recognition particle RNA, 258 nt
Filed under: chicken gut metagenome
Description: Bacterial large signal recognition particle RNA
Rfam family: Bacterial large signal recognition particle RNA
About the family: The signal recognition particle (SRP) is a universally conserved ribonucleoprotein involved in the co-translational targeting of proteins to membranes. Archaeal SRP consists of a 7S RNA and homologues of the eukaryotic SRP19 and SRP54 proteins.
Source: RNAcentral